This 66-nucleotide transfer RNA is filed under the name Phlogotettix sp. EMHAU-2015-Zz052705. RNAcentral describes it as "tRNA-Leu". Lineage: Eukaryota; Metazoa; Arthropoda; Insecta; Hemiptera; Cicadellidae. The record is from RNAcentral.
GAUGAUUUGGCAGAUUAGUGUAUUAAGUUUAGAAUUUAAAUAAGUAAUUAAUUAUUACAUUCAUUA